CGGGGUGUAGCGCAGCCUGGUAGCGCAUCUGGUUUGGGACUAGAGGGUCGUAGGUUCGAAUCCUAUCACCCCGACCA
This 77-nucleotide transfer RNA is filed under the name Arenicella sp. RNAcentral's name for it is "tRNA-Pro". It matches the Rfam family "tRNA". Rfam says of the family: Transfer RNA (tRNA) molecules are approximately 80 nucleotides in length. Their secondary structure includes four short double-helical elements and three loops (D, anti-codon, and T loops). The record is from RNAcentral. Lineage: Bacteria; Pseudomonadati; Pseudomonadota; Gammaproteobacteria; Arenicellales; Arenicellaceae. RNAcentral also lists the same sequence under 1 other name.